RNAcentral lists this ribosomal RNA (348 nucleotides) under uncultured bacterium. RNAcentral describes it as "bacterial SSU rRNA". It matches the Rfam family "Bacterial small subunit ribosomal RNA", at positions 355 to 696 of the family's 1533-position model. The record is from RNAcentral.
UGGGGAAUAUUGGACAAUGGGCGCAAGCGUGAUCCAGCCAUGCCGCGUGUGUGAAGAAGGUCUUCGGGUUGUAAAGCACUUUUAGCGGGGAGGAAGGGCUGUAAGUUAAUACCUCGUGGUUUUGACGUUACUCGCAGAAUAAGCACCGGGUAAAUCUGUGCCAGCAGCCGCGGUAAUACAGAGGGUGCAAGCGUUAUUCUGAAUUAUUGGGGGUAAAGCGCGCGUAGGGGGUUUUUUAAGUCUGAUGUGAAAGCCCCGGGCUCAACCCGGGAACUGCAUUUGAAACUGGCAAGCUAGAGUAUGGUAGAGGAGGGUGGAAGACCACUGUAGCGGUGAAAUGCGUAGAGA